CAUUAAGAAGCUAAACAAGCAUUAACCUUUUAAGUUAAAGAUUGGGAGCUCAACCUCUCCUUAAUGA
Molecule: transfer RNA, 67 nt
Filed under: Fossa fossana (Malagasy civet)
Lineage: Eukaryota; Metazoa; Chordata; Mammalia; Carnivora; Eupleridae
Description: tRNA-Lys
Rfam family: tRNA
About the family: Transfer RNA (tRNA) molecules are approximately 80 nucleotides in length. Their secondary structure includes four short double-helical elements and three loops (D, anti-codon, and T loops). Further hydrogen bonds mediate the characteristic L-shaped molecular structure. tRNAs have two regions of fundamental functional importance: the anti-codon, which is responsible for specific mRNA codon recognition, and the 3' end, to which the tRNAs corresponding amino acid is attached (by aminoacyl-tRNA synthetases). tRNAs cope with the degeneracy of the genetic code in two manners: having more than one tRNA (with a specific anti-codon) for a particular amino acid; and 'wobble' base-pairing, i.e. permitting non-standard base-pairing at the 3rd anti-codon position.
Source: RNAcentral